GCAAGUCGAACGCGAAACCCCGCAAGGGGUUAGUAGAGUGGCAAACGGGUGAGUAACGCGUGGGUGACCUGCCUUCGAGUGGGGGAUAACCUUCCGAAAGGAGGGCUAAUACCGCAUGACAUUCCGUGUUUGGAUACAUGGAAAUCAAAGCCGGGGAUCGCAAGACCUGGCGCUUGAAGAGGGACCUGCGUCCGAUUAGCUAGUUGGUGGGGUAACGGCUCACCAAGGCUCCGAUCGGUAUCCGGCCUGAGAGGGCGGACGGACACACUGGAACUGAGACACGGUCCAGACUCCUACGGGAGGCAGCAGUGGGGAAUUGUUCGCAAUGGGCGCAAGCCUGACGACGCAACGCCGCGUGGAGGAUGAAGACCUUCGGGUCGUAAACUCCUUUCGACCGAGAUGAAUUCUCGCCGACCUAAUACGUCGGCGGGGUGACAGUAUCGAGGGAAGCAGCCCCGGCUAACUCCGUGCCAGCAGCCGCGGUAAUACGGGGGGGGCAAGCGUUGUUCGGAAUUACUGGGCGUAAAGGGUUCGUAGGUGGCCGGCUAAGUCAGACGUGAAAUCCCUCAGCUUAACUGGGGAACUGCGUCUGAGACUGGUCGGCUCGAGGGCAGGAGAGGAACGCGGAAUUCCAGGUGUAGCGGUGAAAUGCGUAGAUAUCUGGAGGAACACCGGUGGCGAAGGCGGCGUUCUGGACUGCAUCUGACACUGAGGAACGAAAGCCAGGGGAGCAAACGGGAUUAGAUACCCCGGUAGUCCUGGCCCUAAACGAUGAAUGCUUGGUGUGGCGGGUAUCGAUCCCUGCCGUGCCGCAGUUAACGCGUUAAGCAUUCCGCCUGGGGAGUACGGUCGCAAGGCUG
Molecule: ribosomal RNA, 860 nt
Filed under: uncultured Acidobacteriota bacterium
Lineage: Bacteria; Pseudomonadati; Acidobacteriota
Description: bacterial SSU rRNA
Rfam family: Bacterial small subunit ribosomal RNA
Source: RNAcentral